AGUAUAAGCAAUUAUACCGUGAAACUGCGAAUGGCUCAUUAAAUCAGUUAUCGUUUAUUUGAUAGUACCUUACUACUUGGAUACCUGUGGUAAUUCUAGAGCUAAUACAUGCUGAAAACCCCAACUUCGGGAGGGGUGUAUUUAUUAGAUAAAAAACCAACGCCCUUUGGGGCUUCUUGGUGAUUCAUGAUAACUUUACGGAUCGCAUGGCCUUGCGCCGGCGACGGUUCAUUCAAAUUUCUGCCCUAUCAACUUUCGAUGGUAAGGUAUUGGCUUACCAUGGUUUCAACGGGUAACGGGGAAUUAGGGUUCGAUUCCGGAGAGGGAGCCUGAGAAACGGCUACCACAUCCAAGGAAGGCAGCAGGCGCGCAAAUUACCCAAUCCCGACACGGGGAGGUAGUGACAAUAAAUACUGAUACAGGGCUCUUUUGGGUCUUGUAAUUGGAAUGAGUACAAUUUAAACCUCUUAACGAGGAACAAUUGGAGGGCAAGUCUGGUGCCAGCAGCCGCGGUAAUUCCAGCUCCAAUAGCGUAUAUUAAAGUUGUUGCAGUUAAAAAGCUCGUAGUUGAACCUUGGGUCUGGCUGGCAGGUCCGCCUCACCGCGUGUACUUGUCCGGCCGGGCCUUCCUUCUGGAGAACCUCAUGCCCUUCACUGGGCGUGUUGGGGACCAGGACUUUUACUUUGAAAAAAUUAGAGUGUUCAAAGCAGGCCUUUGCUCGAAUACGUUAGCAUGGAAUAAUAGAAUAGGACGUGCGGUCCUAUUUUGUUGGUUUCUAGGACCGCCGUAAUGAUUAAUAGGGACAGUCGGGGGCAUCAGUAUUCAAUUGUCAGAGGUGAAAUUCUUGGAUUUAUUGAAGACUAACUACUGCGAAAGCAUUUGCCAAGGAUGUUUUCAUUAAUCAGUGAACGAAAGUUAGGGGAUCGAAGACGAUCAGAUACCGUCGUAGUCUUAACCGUAAACUAUGCCGACUAGGGAUCGGGCGAUGUUCUUUUUCUGACUCGCUCGGCACCUUACGAGAAAUCAAAGUUUUUGGGUUCUGGGGGGAGUAUGGUCGCAAGGCUGAAACUUAAAGAAAUUGACGGAAGGGCACCACCAGGCGUAAAUGUAAACUGUUUGCUGCAGACGCUCUGCGCCAGAAAGGGGCCAGUAAUGGUCGGUGGUAGCUGCUGUUAAACCCUAGUCACUUUGCUUUUUGGGCUAUGUAUCUGAAUUUCCAGGUACUCCAAGCAUGUGGCGACACUGUCAAAUUGCGGGAAACUCGCGAAGCAUUCUGCUACCAAGCCGACUUGUUAAGAGCUGUUGGUGGCCAGGUUAAUUCCCUGGGUAUGGUAAAAAUGCAGUUUGUAUGUGACAAUCCGCAGCCAAGCUCCCCUGCAAUUGCGAGGAGAAGGUUCAGAGACUAAAUGGCAGUGGGUCAGUCAGUUAUACGCUGGUU
Molecule: ribosomal RNA, 1439 nt
Filed under: Phaeosphaeriopsis agavensis
Lineage: Eukaryota; Fungi; Ascomycota; Dothideomycetes; Pleosporales; Phaeosphaeriaceae
Description: bacterial SSU rRNA
Rfam family: Eukaryotic small subunit ribosomal RNA
Source: RNAcentral